AACCCUUCUGUCCACAGUACCGAACCGAACCAAUUAAACUAAUUCCUUCUGGCUACACAGUGCCCACAUUCUAUCAUAACGCCUCUUAAAGGUCUCUAAUAUAUCUGCCUUUAGCACCACUCUCGGUGUAAAAAAAACUUGCCCCUUCGUAUCUCCUUUGAAAUUUCCCUUCUCACUUUAAACGCAUGCUUUCAGGUAUUAGGCAUUUUCAACCCUGGGUAAAGGAUACCGCCUGUCUGCUCGAUCUAAUCUUUAAAACCUGUGUGAGAUCUUCCCUCAGCCUCCACCGCUCCGGAGAAAACAACCCCAGUCUGCCCAACCUCUCUUUACAGCUCACGCCCUCUGUUCCAGGCAGCAUCCAGGCACUCGCGCACAAAAUGCUGGAGGAACUCAGCAGGCCAGGUAGCAUCUACGGAAGAGAGUAAACAACCGACGUUUCGGGUCGAGACCCUUCAUCAGGGCUGAAGGGAAGAUUUAAGCUUCUUCAGGAGGCAAUUGAUGUGGCAGAACUGAGGCGAGGCGAGGCCUAAGGAAGACCAGCGAUUUGAUCGAUUUAAGCACUGGGCCGAAUUGAAAAGAUCGGGUACAGUCCGCAUCGAGGCGGCAGGGUCCUGGCCCCGGAGGUUACCGAAACAACAGAACCCGAUGUUUGGACGACGAUUUAGUCGCUGGUCCAGAUUGAAAAGAUGAGGAUGUUGGGGCCCGAGAUUCUCCUGAAAUCGUUCUGGUACCAGAAGUCCCUACAAAGGACUGUGAGAAUGGCUGAGAGGACCUUAGGAGACUCCCUACCAUCCAUCAGGGACAUUUAUCAGGAGUGCUGUGUUAGACCGGUGUGAAGCAGGUUAGUUUUACCCUACUGAUGAUGCGUUGUCCUGGUCAGCUCGGGCAGAUGAGGCACAUCAGCUGUGGUUGGCAGCUCAUCUAGGAGAAGGAAAACUCUGAUCUCAAACCUUCUCUGCUUUGCAGAUAGACCCACUCAUAAGGAAGGCUUUGGGAGUGAACCCCGAGGGAAAAAUUCGGAUCUGGCUGGAGUCCAAAGGCAGUCCUACAUUGAGUUCAAUGCUGCCUGGCAACUCCUGCGAUGCUACCGGCACCAAACUGUAUCGGUCCCUGCCGUUCCUUUGGGUUCAUCGGAUGCGUGGAGAGGGAGAGCUUGCUACAUGGGCAACAGAUUGCUCUCUAUAUCGUACUGCCCAGCCUUACGUGUCUAGACAGCUUGCACGCACUAUCUAUGGUCAACUCUGACUGACGGAGACCCUCACUUCACCUCAGCUCACAAGAGGAACCGCAUGUUCAGACAUUUGGUGUACGUGCUUGGCUGAGGGUUUGGUGGUGCAUUCACAGGGCCCUUAGUAUUAUUAAGGAUUCCACCCACCCAUCCAGCAUCCUCUUUGACUUUCUACCAUCAAGCAGGAGACUCUGAUGCAUAAAGACAAGAACGGUUGGGAAUCAGGAUGGGAAACAGUUUCUUCCCUCAGGCCAUUAGGAUUCUGAACUCCCUGCUGCAUCGUAUUAGAAGUACUACCGGUUUAAUCUGUUUUAUCCUUACUUUCAUAAGUUAUUGUGUAUUGUGUACUACUAUGCU
Mobula hypostoma (lesser devil ray) is the source of this 1585-nucleotide long non-coding RNA. RefSeq lists it as uncharacterized. The transcript is spliced from 3 exons. NCBI's taxonomy places the organism in Eukaryota, Metazoa, Chordata, Chondrichthyes, Myliobatiformes, Myliobatidae. The record is from RefSeq and is a predicted model, not a curated record.